AUCCUAUAUUUAUUUAUGUUGGUCCCAUUCCUAUAAUUUAACUAUUGAAGUCCAGCCCAAUUAUCUAACAUACCCUAAGUCCCUAACAGCCCAUUAGCCCAAUUAACCUAUUCACUUAUUCAGAUGAUCCAUUUGAGUAUUGAAUAUUCAUCCCUAUACUGUCCAGCCCUAAUCUUCACUCUUCACUUCUGAGUUCACCGCCUCUGCGCCUCAGACCUCAGUCUUCACGCUGCCUUAAGCCCUUCAGCUUCACGCUUCACGCUUUACACUUUAUCAUGAGUCAGCAUACUCAGAUCAGCUUUAAAUUCUUGGGCUUGCUUUUCCAGUUCCUCCUCCAAGUUUCUCACUUGAGCUUCGAGUUGACUAUUAGUGACUAAAGAGUUAGAGUAUUCAUCAGAUUGCUUCUUCAGCUCAUUCUCCAAGCUGUCAAUCUAGGCUUCCAGUUAACUUACAAUGACAUACCAAGAAGAACACUCAUACUGCAUUUGAAGGUGGGUGUUGUUUGUUGUUGUUGUUGUGUGUUGCAGGUGUAGUGUAGGCUGUGUAGCUGUAGUGUAGCUGCUACAGGUGGUGGUGGUGAGUGAUGUUGUUUGUUGCUGUUGUUGCCUUUUAGUUUUAGGAACUCAGAUAGUAGUAAAAUUAAGAUAGUUUGUGGCUACUUAUCUUGUAAUUAGAUCAGAUUCAAUCAUUCAGCUCACCUGUCGGAGGCCAGGAUCUAUCCUCCUGUGUCAUGCUCUAAAUAAAUAUAAUGUGAGUAUGUGACUCCAGCAAAUG
Long non-coding RNA from Solanum dulcamara, 774 nucleotides. RefSeq lists it as uncharacterized. NCBI's taxonomy places the organism in Eukaryota, Viridiplantae, Streptophyta, Magnoliopsida, Solanales, Solanaceae. The transcript has 2 exons. The record is from RefSeq and is a predicted model, not a curated record.